This 1357-nucleotide ribosomal RNA is filed under the name Mycoplasmopsis arginini. RNAcentral's name for it is "Mycoplasma arginini partial 16S ribosomal RNA". It matches the Rfam family "Bacterial small subunit ribosomal RNA", at positions 86 to 1442 of the family's 1533-position model. Lineage: Bacteria; Bacillati; Mycoplasmatota; Mycoplasmoidales; Metamycoplasmataceae. The record is from RNAcentral.
UUGAACCUAGCGGCGAAUGGGUGAGUAACACGUGCUUAAUCUACCCUUUAGAUUGGAAUACCCAAUGGAAACAUUGGCUAAUGCCGGAUACGCAUGGAAUCGCAUGAUUCCGUUGUGAAAGGAGCCUUUAAAGCUCCGCUAGAGGAUGAGGGUGCGGAACAUUAGUUAGUUGGUAGGGUAAUGGCCUACCAAGACUAUGAUGUUUAGCCGGGUCGAGAGACUGAACGGCCACAUUGGGACUGAGAUACGGCCCAAACUCCUACGGGAGGCAGCAGUAGGGAAUAUUCCACAAUGAGCGAAAGCUUGAUGGAGCGACACAGCGUGCACGAUGAAGGUCUUCGGAUUGUAAAGUGCUGUUAUAGGGAAAGAACACCUGGUUGAGGAAAUGCUUCCAGGCUGACGGUACCCUGUCAGAAAGCGAUGGCUAACUAUGUGCCAGCAGCCGCGGUAAUACAUAGGUCGCAAGCGUUAUCCGGAAUUAUUGGGCGUAAAGCGUUCGUAGGCUGUUUAUUAAGUCUGGAGUCAAAUCCCAGGGCUCAACCCUGGCUCGCUUUGGAUACUGGUAAACUAGAGUUAGAUAGAGGUAAGCGGAAUUCCAUGUGAAGCGGUGAAAUGCGUAGAUAUAUGGAAGAACACCAAAGGCGAAGGCAGCUUACUGGGUCUAUACUGACGCUGAGGGACGAAAGCGUGGGGAGCAAACAGGAUUAGAUACCCUGGUAGUCCACGCCGUAAACGAUGAUCAUUAGUCGGUGGAGAGUUCACUGACGCAGCUAACGCAUUAAAUGAUCCGCCUGAGUAGUAUGCUCGCAAGAGUGAAACUUAAAGGAAUUGACGGGGACCCGCACAAGCGGUGGAGCAUGUGGUUUAAUUUGAAGAUACGCGGAGAACCUUACCCACUCUUGACAUCCUUCGCAAUGCUAUAGAGAUAUAGCGGAGGUUAACGGAGUGACAGAUGGUGCAUGGUUGUCGUCAGCUCGUGUCGUGAGAUGUUUGGUCAAGUCCUGCAACGAGCGCAACCCCUAUCUUUAGUUACUAACGAGUCAUGUCGAGGACUCUAGAGAUACUGCCUGGGUAACUGGGAGGAAGGUGGGGAUGACGUCAAAUCAUCAUGCCUCUUACGAGUGGGGCAACACACGUGCUACAAUGGUCGGUACAAAGAGAAGCAAUAUGGCGACAUGGAGCAAAUCUCAAAAAGCCGAUCUCAGUUCGGAUUGGAGUCUGCAAUUCGACUCCAUGAAGUCGGAAUCGCUAGUAAUCGCAGAUCAGCUACGCUGCGGUGAAUACGUUCUCGGGUCUUGUACACACCGCCCGUCACACCAUGGGAGCUGGUAAUACCCAAAGUCGGUUAGCUAACCUC